GGGUCGAUGCCCGAGUGGUUAAUGGGGGUGGAUUGUAAAUCCAUUGGCUUGCCUACGCUGGUUCAAAUCCAGCUCGGCCCAA
This 82-nucleotide transfer RNA is filed under the name Chlorella variabilis. Its description in RNAcentral is "tRNA-Tyr". It matches the Rfam family "tRNA". From Rfam's summary of the family: Transfer RNA (tRNA) molecules are approximately 80 nucleotides in length. Their secondary structure includes four short double-helical elements and three loops (D, anti-codon, and T loops). Further hydrogen bonds mediate the characteristic L-shaped molecular structure. tRNAs have two regions of fundamental functional importance: the anti-codon, which is responsible for specific mRNA codon recognition, and the 3' end, to which the tRNAs corresponding amino acid is attached (by aminoacyl-tRNA synthetases). tRNAs cope with the degeneracy of the genetic code in two manners: having more than one tRNA (with a specific anti-codon) for a particular amino acid; and 'wobble' base-pairing, i.e. permitting non-standard base-pairing at the 3rd anti-codon position. Lineage: Eukaryota; Viridiplantae; Chlorophyta; Trebouxiophyceae; Chlorellales; Chlorellaceae. The record is from RNAcentral.